AUGGGGGCGGCGCCGUCGACACCGAGGCUGGGCGAGGCGGUUUCCGCGUCGCCGGGGGAGGCGCCGUCGACGCCGAGGCUGCGCGAGGCGGGCUCCGCGUCGCUGGGGGCGGCGGAGCAGAUGUUCGCCGCGCUCGUCGGCGACAAGGCCUACCCGAUCUCCUCCGAGUUCUGGAGGCAGCUGCUCGAGCUGCCCCUCACCCUGCAGGGGCCGCGGGACCGCGUGCUGCAGGCCUGCCACCCCUUCGCACAAAACAACUACCAUACGAAGUAUCUUGCAAAGAUCUUGAUUGAUUUGGUUUGGUGUUUGCAAGAGUGCACAUCGGCUUCUUCUGUAUCUUCUAGCGUCUAUAGAAAGGCUAUUAAUGCUGCCUACAUCUCAUCCAUAUUUCUCAAGCUCAUUACUGAGAACGCCAAGGCAGAUAAUUGGCAAGAGCUAUGCCUUGACACGAACAAAGAUGACAAGGGGCUGGAUAAUUUUCCUUCUGACCAAAGUGUGGAGUAUUUUCUGAUGAAAGGGGUGCGGAACUACAUUGGUAGUGUAGAUAUAAGUCCGGAGUCAUGCUACCUACAUCAGGAGCUUCUAAACUUGAUGCUAGUCCUUUUGUCGACUCAGUUAUGUUCUGGACCAUCUCCAGAACCAAAAGAUGUGCAUCCUUUCAUUGAUGCGGCUAUGCUUCAGGAUGCUUCCAUAGUAGCUUCGGUUGUUCAAAAGUUUCUACUUAAUUUUGUAAGAUGGCCACAAAUCCCUUCAAAUGGUUCACACCCUGUUUUCUCUGAUGAUGGUGGGUCUGGUGUUAUGCAACGAAUUGGUUCAGCAGCUGAAAUGAAUUAUGCUGCAGUUGAUCGUGCUGAUGUUGAGGGAAAUGCUCAAAAUGGACCUGUUGUCAGGCUGUCUUUUGCAUCGCUGUUUGAUGCUCUUGGCACAUGCUUAAAAGAUGAGAGCUCAGUUUUGUUGCUCUAUUCUCUGGUCCAUGGGAACUGCGAUUUUCAGGAGUAUGUUCUGGUUCGAACAGACUUGGAUACUUUGCUUAUGCCUACCUUUGAAAUGCUCUAUGAUGCAUCAAGGAAGACUUCCAAUCAGAUCUACAUGCUGUUGAUAAUUCUCCUGAUACCCAGUCAAGAUUCAACCUUCAAUGCUAAUGUGCACAAAUUGGAUGUCUACCUUCACACAAACUGUCUUGUAAUUCUAGCAAUCAUGGGUCCUCAUGCGCAUAGGCUGAGUGCAUAUGCAUCUCAAAGGCUGGUUAGCCUCUUCGACAUGCUUCCUCACAAGUACACCAAAUUAGCUGAGUUACAAAAUGACAAGGCUCUCAAAGUUAUGUCUGAUCAAAUAGAAGCAGACAUCACUUCAGAUGAAACGGCAUGUAUAAUCUCAAAGUGUGAAGAAUAUGGUUUCGCUGAAGGUGUUACUACAAAGGCUGCUGCAACAAGUGAUGCAAAUGCAAGCACCAUUGAAGAUGGCACAAAAACAGUAUCUUCGAAUCUUUCAUCAUCAAAAGUGGAAAGCACUCAGUUAUCAAGUGGCACUUAUGUAUCACUUGGGCAACAAAAAAAAUUAAUGAUUCAUAAGGGCUUUUGGUUCACUGGCUACUUAUUGUUGAUCAUUGUAUCCAUGUUUCUCCCUUUGUCCGAGGCAAGACAGAUUGUACAACUUUCAGAGUCCGAGUUUUGCAGUAAUCAUUACUUGUUAUCUAGGAAAAUUGCUGUAGCGUGCAUUCCAACACAGCCAGAACCUAUUUGCUGUGAACUUUUAGUUCCAGCUUUGGAUUCUAAAGGCUGUAUUUGCAAAUUGAUGAAUGACGGUACAGAAUUGGAUAACUUUCUCAUGAAAUAUACGUCGUGUGGAGGGCAACAUCCAGAAUUACUUGAAGAUGCACAGAAUUGCUCAUCGGCACCAACAGCGACAGUGACUGAAGUUGCUCCGACCCAGAAGAUACCUGAAGUGGCUAUUAUUGCUAGCAAACCAAAGAAUGUCAAAUCUCUUCGUUGGCUUUUAGUGCUCUUACUGGCUGUGGUGCUAAUAGGAUUGCUUUUUUGGGGUACUCUUGAGCUGAAGAAAAGAAGAGAAGCUGGGAGAGUUGGACCUCAAACUCAGGAAGUUCAGUUAGGUCGCAGAGUGACCGUGCAGGCACGGCAAACUGCAGAUGAUUCAAUACGUAAUCAACACGUCGACAUUCCUAUUCUUGAAGAUCUGCCGUUUGUUGGUCCGAUGACGAGAAAUCGUUUCAAUUCACUGAAAGAGAGAGCCGCGGGAACUAAGGAAUCAACUAGUGACUGA
RNAcentral lists this ribosomal RNA (2280 nucleotides) under Triticum aestivum (bread wheat). RNAcentral describes it as "partial small subunit ribosomal RNA". The record is from RNAcentral. Lineage: Eukaryota; Viridiplantae; Streptophyta; Magnoliopsida; Poales; Poaceae.